AUUGAACGCUGGCGGCACGCUUUACACAUGCAAGUCGAACGGUAACAGGGUGCCUGCACCGCUGACGAGUGGCGAACGGGCGAGUAAUGCGUCGGAACGUGCCGAGUAGUGGGGGAUAACGCAGCGAAAGUUGUGCUAAUACCGCAUACGUACUGAGGUAGAAAGUGGGGGACCUUCGGGCCUCACGCUAUUCGAGCGGCCGACGUCUGAUUAGCUAGUAGGUGAGGUAAAGGCUCACCUAGGCGACGAUCAGUAGCGGGUCUGAGAGGAUGAUCCGCCACACUGGGACUGAGACACGGCCCAGACUCCUACGGGAGGCAGCAGUGGGGAAUUUUGGACAAUGGGCGAAAGCCUGAUUCAGCCAUGCCGCGUGUCUGAAGAAGGCCUUCGGGUUGUAAAGGACUUUUGUCGGGGAGGAAAUCCCCAGCGUUAAUACCGCUGGGGGAUGACAGUACCUGAAGAAUAAGCACCGGCUAACUACGUGCCAGCCACCGCCGUAA
RNAcentral lists this ribosomal RNA (500 nucleotides) under uncultured bacterium. Its description in RNAcentral is "partial 16S ribosomal RNA". It matches the Rfam family "Bacterial small subunit ribosomal RNA", at positions 30 to 523 of the family's 1533-position model. The record is from RNAcentral.